GGACUCUCCAGGCAGGGCGACACCAUGGUCACAAAGGUGGUUUUCCCAGGACACGCUUUUCCAUGGCACUCCAGAUGUGCAGACCCCUGUCAUUCCCCCAAACGUGGGAAACCCGACAGCAUCAUCUGUGGUAGUGGGGACCUGUGUUUGCACUCUCUCCUG
Molecule: small nuclear RNA, 162 nt
Organism: Jaculus jaculus (lesser Egyptian jerboa)
Lineage: Eukaryota; Metazoa; Chordata; Mammalia; Rodentia; Dipodidae
Gene: U1
Rfam family: U1 spliceosomal RNA
About the family: U1 is a small nuclear RNA (snRNA) component of the spliceosome (involved in pre-mRNA splicing). Its 5' end forms complementary base pairs with the 5' splice junction, thus defining the 5' donor site of an intron. There are significant differences in sequence and secondary structure between metazoan and yeast U1 snRNAs, the latter being much longer (568 nucleotides as compared to 164 nucleotides in human).
Source: Ensembl